CUGACAAAUCUGCACAUAAACGGAUGAUUGUACUAGGUUCUACGCGUCGAGAGCUUCGUUUUGACUAUUUAUACGCCUCCAUCGGAUUCCAAUAACGCCUUCAAAUCCUCGUUUGAUUAUGAAGAACACGAAGAACACCCGUUCGUUUUCUCUCGGUAUUCGUGCAGAGAAACUGGCGAAAUGAUUGUACGCGCAAAAUAAACUG
Molecule: long non-coding RNA, 205 nt
Filed under: Daucus carota (carrot)
Lineage: Eukaryota; Viridiplantae; Streptophyta; Magnoliopsida; Apiales; Apiaceae
Description: long non-coding RNA (DCAR_LNC007337)
Source: RNAcentral